Molecule: ribosomal RNA, 479 nt
Filed under: uncultured bacterium
Lineage: Bacteria
Description: partial 16S ribosomal RNA
Rfam family: Bacterial small subunit ribosomal RNA
Source: RNAcentral
GAUGAACGCUGGCGGCGUGCUUAACACAUGCAAGUCGAGCGAGAAGUUUUGAAAAGAUUCUUCGGAUGAAAUUUAAAAUGGAAAGCGGCGGACGGGUGAGUAACGCGUAGGCAACCUGCCCCAUACAAAGGGAUAGCAUUUGGAAACGAAUAUUAAUACCUUAUGAAACUUAACUAGUGCAUGCUAGGUAGGUCAAAGAUUUAUCGGUAUGGGAUGGGCCUGCGUCUGAUUAGCUAGUUGGUGAGGUAACGGCUCACCAAGGCGACGAUCAGUAGCCGACCUGAGAGGGUGAACGGCCACAUUGGAACUGAGACACGGUCCAAACUCCUACGGGAGGCAGCAGUGGGGAAUAUUGCAAAAUGGGGGAAACCCUGAUGCAGCAACGCCGCGUGAACGAUGAAGGCCUUUGGGUCGUAAAGUUCUGUUCUAGGUGAUGAAAACUGACAGUAACCUAGGAGAAAGCCCCGGCUAACUCCGUG